AUUGAACGCUGGCGGAAUGCUUUACACAUGCAAGUCGAACGGCAGCACGGACUUCGGUCUGGUGGCGAGUGGCGAACGGGUGAGUAAUACAUCGGAACGUGCCCAGUCGUGGGGGAUAACGUAGCGAAAGCUACGCUAAUACCGCAUACGAUCUAAGGAUGAAAGCGGGGGAUCGCAAGACCUCGCGCGAUUGGAGCGGCCGAUGGCAGAUUAGGUAGUUGGUGGGGUAAAGGCCUACCAAGCCGACGAUCUGUAGCUGGUCUGAGAGGACGACCAGCCACACUGGGACGGAGACACGGCCCAGACUCCUACGGGAGGCAGCAGUGGGGAAUUUUGGACAAUGGGCGCAAGCCUGAUCCAGCCAUUCCGCGUGCAGGAUGAAGGCCCUCGGGUUGUAAACUGCUUUUGUACGGAACGAAACGGUGCUGGUUAAUACCCGGCGCUAAUGACGGUACCGUGAGAAUAAGCACCGGCUAACUACGUGCCAGCCGCCGCCGUAA
Molecule: ribosomal RNA, 500 nt
Filed under: uncultured bacterium
Lineage: Bacteria
Description: partial 16S ribosomal RNA
Rfam family: Bacterial small subunit ribosomal RNA
Source: RNAcentral